AAAAUACUAGUAAUAAAAAUUACACUGUCUUGUCAAGACAGAAUUGUAGGUUAAAAUCUCUACGUAUUUUA
Molecule: transfer RNA, 71 nt
Filed under: Cyema atrum (bobtail snipe eel)
Lineage: Eukaryota; Metazoa; Chordata; Actinopteri; Anguilliformes; Cyematidae
Description: tRNA-Asp
Source: RNAcentral